Jatropha curcas is the source of this 1962-nucleotide non-coding RNA. Lineage: Eukaryota; Viridiplantae; Streptophyta; Magnoliopsida; Malpighiales; Euphorbiaceae. The record is from RefSeq and is a predicted model, not a curated record.
CCAAAACACACACACACACACACACACACACACGCGCGUAACCUAGAGUCAUAGUUAAGCGCAUAAACCUGGAAAGAAAGAGAGAGGACCUUCAAUUCACCACUUCGAGCAGAAGGAAAUCCUUCAGUUCGAAGUCUGAGGUUAAAAGAUAAUUAUUUGUGUGUAAUCAACUGACGCAGAUUGAAACCAGCAUUGAUCUCCAUUCAGUAAAAUGGCUUUGCAACUUAUAGUAACCAAUUUUAUACGUGCUUUCUUGGCGCCCUUUGAAGAAAAUUCAGACAAGAAUGAUUGUUUUGAGGAGGAUUGCAUUAGUCAGCUGCCAGAUGAAAUUCUUGCUUCAGUUUUAUCAUAGUUGACAGUAAAAGAUGCUGUUAAAACAAGAUUGUUGUCAAGAAAAUGGAGGCAUCUGUAUUUAUCGUAUCUCCAUGCAUCAAGGUCGGAGCUCAACUUUGACUGUAAAUCGGCUGGUUUAGAUUACACUAAAUCUCAUAAAUGUCAACAAUAUACAUGUGCAUUUGUGCAAUGGGUAAAUAAGUUCUUAAACCAGUAUAAAGGUCCGAACAUCAGUUCCUUUAGAGUGGCUUUUUGCCUUGGCCCGAAGUUUGCUUAUGAUAUCGAUCGAUGGAUCACUUUUGCAGUUAAGCUGGGUGUUGAGCAGCUGAAGAUUAUCUGUUCAUGCUAUGGUAUCUCAUACAGAAAACAGCAUGAGUUAUAUGCUUUUUCUUUCCAGCAUUUGUCUGAUGCAUCCGAGUUGAAGCAUCUGGAAUUAAAUUCUUGUAUACUGAAACAGGAUUUUAAUGGCCAAUUACAUUCCUUGAAGUUCAUUGAUUUAAUAUUCACCCCACUAGAUCAAAGUAUACUGCUAUUUAUUUUGUCAAUGUGUUGUAAUCUUGAAAGACUGAGAUUGGCUUGGUGUUUGUGUCCUGCUGUUUUGAGCUUUUGUGGUCCAUUCCUGCAGUUGAAGAUGUUGACUGUAUCUUUUUGUAAAGGAUUGGAGGAGAUUGAGCUCUCUGCUACAAAUCUCACCACUCUUGAGGUUUUCGGUGAUCGAACAAAUUUUAACAUCGUGUUCUCUGAUGUUCCCAAUCUGCAAAAUGUUCUUUGUCAAAAGCCAUGCACAAGUAGCUUUCCAGAUGAUUUAUUCAAGCAAUUUGAGAAUGCUGCUCCUCAACUUCAAUCUCUAAUACUGUCCAGUACUACAAGAUUGCUGAAGUAUAUACCUAGUAGCAUAGCAACAUUUGGCAAUUUGAAGCAGCUGGAAUUCAUUUUCUAUUCCGGCAAUGAACCUUAUAAUAUCUGGAAGAUUAUUCCUGUUUUAAUUGCCUGCCCUCUUCUUCAGAUAUUUAACUUGACGAUAAGACUGGGUAUACAUUUAUAUGAUGCGGUUAAUAUUGAAGAAAGAACAAUGAAAGAAAUCCAGAAAUACCAUUAUUCUCGCUUGAAAGAAGUUGAAAUUGGUGGAUUUCAAGGCACUGAAACUCAACUUGCAUUGGCGUUAUAUUUUCUGAAAAAUGCAGUUGAGCUCGAACGGAUGGUUAUUAGUUCUUGUUUCUGGGAGUAUCUUACAUCUAGCAAGCGUACAUAUCAUUAAUUGGUGACUUGGACUGAUGGGAUGCAUAAAAACAUCAUUGAACAAUUGCAAGGAAAGGCAACAUCCAAAACUGCACGACUGAUUAUUUAUAAAGGUCUGCCACCGCAGGGCAAGGUGCAGGACUGAUUGUUUAUGAAGUCAUUAUUUUUAUUUCUUUCUUUAAAGAUUCAAGCUUCAUCAUGAAUUUUUUUUUUCUGUUGAUACAUAAAAAAACAAAUGGGGGAUAAUUAUUAAUAUAUCCUCUUAACGCGUUGGACGUAUGAUGUGUUAAGACUUCUGCCACUUAUUCCUAAGGGUUGUUAUGUUACUUAAAAUUUCAUCUGAAAGAAAUGGGUUUAAUGCCAAUUGUAGCAUAUUUUUUAUUGGUUUCA